RNAcentral lists this ribosomal RNA (253 nucleotides) under uncultured bacterium. RNAcentral's name for it is "partial 16S ribosomal RNA". It matches the Rfam family "Bacterial small subunit ribosomal RNA", at positions 524 to 776 of the family's 1533-position model. The record is from RNAcentral.
UACGUAGGGUGCAAGCGUUAAUCGGAAUUACUGGGCGUAAAGCGUGCGCAGGCGGUUGUGCAAGACCGAUGUGAAAUCCCCGGGCUCAACCUGGGAAUGGCAUUGGAAACUGGCGAGCUAGAGUGUGGCAGAGGGGGGUGGAAUUCCGCGUGUAGCAGUGAAAUGCGUAGAGAUGCGGAGGAACACCGAUGGCGAAGGCAGCCCCCUGGGCUGACACUGACGCUCAGGCACGAAAGCGUGGGGAGCAAACAGG